GGGGAUUCAGCUCAGCGGCAUAAGCGCCUGCCUUGAAAGCAGGCAGUCGUGAGUUCAAUCCCCA
RNAcentral lists this transfer RNA (64 nucleotides) under Cavia porcellus (domestic guinea pig). It matches the Rfam family "tRNA", at positions 1 to 62 of the family's 71-position model. Rfam says of the family: Transfer RNA (tRNA) molecules are approximately 80 nucleotides in length. Their secondary structure includes four short double-helical elements and three loops (D, anti-codon, and T loops). The record is from Rfam by way of RNAcentral. Lineage: Eukaryota; Metazoa; Chordata; Mammalia; Rodentia; Caviidae.